RNAcentral lists this ribosomal RNA (253 nucleotides) under uncultured bacterium. RNAcentral describes it as "partial 16S ribosomal RNA". It matches the Rfam family "Bacterial small subunit ribosomal RNA", at positions 524 to 776 of the family's 1533-position model. The record is from RNAcentral.
UACAGAGGGUGCAAGCGUUAAUCGGAGUGACUGGGCGUAAAGGGUGCGUAGGUGGUUAAGUAGGUAACUUGUGAAAAGCUUGGGCUCAACCCAAGUCGUGCGAGUUAAACCGCAUAACUAGAGUGAAGUAGAGGAUAGUGGAAUUCCCGGAGUAGUAGUGAAAUGCGUAGAUAUCGGGAGGAACAUCAGUGGCGAAGGCGGCUAUCUGGACUUUAACUGACACUGAGGCACGAAAGCGUGGGUAGCAAACAGG